UUUAAAGUGCAACAUAACAAUACUAUUAUAAAUAAAAAUAAAAAUAAAUACUAUCUAGUGCAACAUAAAAACGGGUGAUAUUUAUGAAAUCAAGUUGAACUGACAAUUAAAUUAUUUUUUUUUAAAAAAAAAUUGAACUACAAUUUUUUUUAUUAGUUAUGUUUACAGAAAUUAAAUUCUUUCGUCACUUCUCUUCCAACUUCCAGAGCACAGUCCAACCCAUUUUAUCAUCAGCAAGGCCCAUCUGUAUAUUAGAAAGGGCAGAGGAGAGCUGCCUGGACACAGUACCAAGUCCGCCUUCCUUGUAGGACAACCUGAAGCCAAACCCCAAAACAAAAGAAAUGGCAGCAUUAAUAUAUAAGCAAUAAUGCAUCUCAGAAACUACCAGGUAAAAUUCAACACUAUAUCACAUUGAAUUGUCACUUGAUAGGUGUUCAUGCUAGAACACUGAUGUCCAUGAUCCCAUCCAUAAGAAUGUGAUGAUCUAAAUCUGGAACUUCUCUCAAGCUGCUUUUUAAGGUAUCAGAAUAUCUUUCAAAUUUUUAGGAACAUAUCUUAGGUAAGGGUUAAAUUUUCAACUCUUGGUAAACUUUCUCGAUAGAUUGGCCUUUUAAGCUUGGUAGCAUUUCCGGAUAAAUCCUGCACAGUGUUCAAAUGCAGGAAACAAAUAUAAGAACUUUACCUUUUACCCUGGUAAGUAAUGCUACCCACAGGCAAUAAACCAACAGCAUUUCCCGUACAAAAAACUUCAUCAGCACUAAAUAAUUCCUCAACUGAAACAGGUCUCUCCUCAACCUGUUCAUAAGUAAAAAUGUCAUGCAUUAUAAACUCUAAUUAUCUGGACUCCUAAAAACCUGGUGAAAUCAGGAUCCCAAAGAACACAGACUCUUCAAGUCAGAUUAAAUGCACACUUUAACAACAGUUUCCAAUGCAAAAGAAAAAGGGCCCACUGGAUGAAUAAGACUGGAAAUUGGUGAGAAAAGAGACGGCUAUAACAUUCUGACCACCUAACCUGCUGCACUCUUGUCAGCAAAACAUUGUUUUACCCAGAAGUAUCGGUGCUAUCAUUGCCUACGAUAGUAAAGCAUUUCUCUAAAAAAUGUAAACACAUGGAAACUAGAUUAAGAGAGUGAAGUCCCAGACAUUGGAAGUAACAUAUCUGCCUUACCAUAUAAUAUGGGACAGCAAGCAUAAAUACAUCAAGACAAAUGAACAAGAAAAGUUUGAAGAAUGUAAAGGAAAGCCAAAAUUUAGCAUAUGAGAUGGACAAAUGUAUGAGAACAUGAUUCACGAUCUCUCAAAUCCCCUCUUUAAAGAACAUAGCAAUGCAGAGUAAACAACUGGAACAUUCAGCUGAGAGUCAUAAUCCUACUGAGAAUGGAUUCUAGCUGGGUGAUGUGUCAGCUAUCCUUUGCACCAUAAACACGUGUUGCCCCUCUGAACUACUUUUGUUAAGAGGAAGAACUAUUUUGCAUAUUCACCUUGUUCUGAAUAAAUGUCAAGAUGCCCUAUGGCAUGAAGAUCAGGAAAGUUUAGAUACCUUCACCUAUUUACCACAGAUUGUUGGCUCAAAAGACAUACCUGAAACUUUUGUCUGCGAGCAAUAUCAAUAACACUUUCUCGUGUAAUGCCUGGCAGAAUUGUCCCUCUCAAUGCUGGAGUACAUAUUGUUUUAUCCUAGGAGUUCACAAUCAAUGAAACAGACUAAAGUAAAGAUUUUUUGACAAUGAAAAUCACCAAAUUUCAGUAUACCAUUAUUUUACACUAGGAAAUUUGCCUUGUUCAAGAUCCACUGUCAAAUGAUAGAAAACAAAAACACAAAAAAUACAAAAAUAUGUAGGAAGAGAAAAACGGAAAAGCCGUGGCCAAUAGGAAGAUCUAUGACAACUGGAUUCCAGAUUUCAAAUCAACAUCAGAACACAAUGCUACAAGUUAUUCUGCUUGCAAAAUGAAUAAUAGGCAGAUUAUGAAGUGUUAUUUUUGUGAUAUAGAUGCAUGAGAUGUUAUCAUAUACUUCAUCUCCACCUUUUCAUUAACAUGCACUUGAUGCUUGAUAAAAUAUUUCUAAACCAAGCAUCCCUUCUGCAGAUUCUAAUUGGAUGUUUAUUGACUGAAGAAAUGACACUCCAAGAAUUUAGCUUUUCACAAAAAUUCCAAAACUCCCUAUAAAGAAAAUUUUAUUGCCCAACAAAAAACCCCACUGAGAUUCAACCUUCAAAGCUACAAAACAAUUGCAAAACAGAGAGCAUGACAAGUGAUAACAAGGACAGAAAAUUCAAAAGCUAACAAACAUAUGAUUUAAAAAUACAAUUGGACAUGUGUUAGCAUGGUAGUCAAACAGAACAUAAAACUUCAUAUGAAGCAUUGAACAGAGGCAAUAGAAUCUAAAGUGAAUUUGUGAAGAUGUGUCAGAACGGGGUGAUUGAUCUUUAUCAUGCUUAAGUGAAAUUGCUCGGCUAAAACAAUUUUUCAGAAGAUUCUCAAAGUUGCAAAUGCCAACAUCAUAGAAUUCUUAAUUUUUUUAUACAAACACAUUAGACUGCAAAUAUUUCCUUCGCGAACAUAAAAUGUGACAAGGCAUGUUAAAUAAUAUAACGGAGGACAUAGAUGACAAGGAAAAGUUAUUAUGGAAAUCGGCUUAAUGACAAGACCUUUAUAGGCUACUGUUUUCUUUAACUAGGAAAAAAGUUAAUAAUGUUGAGCUAUGGCUUAUAUUUGUUAUAGGGAAAUUUACUAUUUUCUAAGGCCCAUGCCAAAAGGGAGGAGAUCCAUGAUAAGGGCUGAUGUUUUUUCAUUGGGGAUGAUUAUGUAAAUCUUAUUUGUAUUAGGAAAUUUUUUUUAAGGAUUUUUUCAAUAUAAAUAGGGACUUAAUAUUCUCAUUCUCACAUAGUCAAAAAACAGGUGCCUGUCCGUAGAUGCACACACACUUACCAAACCAUGUAAAAUUCUUAUAUUUGUUUCUCUCUCCCCUUUUUCUAGUCAGUAUGUGCGUGUGUUCAAGGGUUAUUUUCUGCUAAAAAUAAGGAGAGAGAAUCUUGCUAGAUGUACCCAUGGCAGCUUAAGCCUUCCAUGCCAAACAAAGAAAGAAAAGAAAAGACUUGGUGUCUCAAUAUAAUUUUUAAUCAUGGUACUGCAACUGAAAUGAAAGCAAUGAUCCCACAGCUGUGUUACGUCAUGAUAAGCCAAUAUAAAGAUAUA
This 3198-nucleotide unclassified non-coding RNA is filed under the name Hevea brasiliensis (rubber tree). Lineage: Eukaryota; Viridiplantae; Streptophyta; Magnoliopsida; Malpighiales; Euphorbiaceae. The record is from RNAcentral.